Molecule: ribosomal RNA, 386 nt
Filed under: uncultured bacterium
Lineage: Bacteria
Description: bacterial SSU rRNA
Rfam family: Bacterial small subunit ribosomal RNA
Source: RNAcentral
GACGAACGCUGGCGGCGUGCUUAACACAUGCAAGUCGAGCGGUAAGGCCCUUUCGGGGGUACACGAGCGGCGAACGGGUGAGUAACACGUGGGUGACCUGCCCUCAGCUCUGGGAUAAGCCUGGGAAACCGGGUCUAAUACUGGAUAUGACUCCAUGACGCAUGUUGUGGGGUGGAAAGCCUUGUGCGGCUGAGGAUGGGCCCGCGGCCUAUCAGCUUGUUGGUGGGGUGANGGCCUACCAAGGCGACGACGGGUAGCCGGCCUGAGGAGGGCGACCGGCCACACUGGGACUGAGACACGGCCCAGACUCCUACGGGAGGCAGCAGGUGGGGAAUCUUGCGCAAUGGGCGAAAGCCUGACGCAGCGACGCCGCGUGAGGAUGACGC